GCAGUCACGUCGUUUGUGACUGAAAGCUCACACUUGUGAGUGUAAUAACAUGAAGAAGGAAUGAUCGAUG
Molecule: small RNA, 70 nt
Filed under: unclassified sequences
Description: osmY RNA
Rfam family: osmY RNA
Source: Rfam by way of RNAcentral